CUCUGGUAUUGAUUGGUGCUUGCAUCAUGAUUUACAUUUGAGUGAGUGGCGAACUGGUGAGUAACACGUGGGAAACCUGCCCAGAAGCGGGGGAUAACACCUGGAAACAGAUGCUAAUACCGCAUAACAACUUGGACCGCAUGGUCCGAGUUUGAAAGAUGGCUUCGGCUAUCACUUUUGGAUGGUCCCGCGGCGUAUUAGCUAGAUGGUGGGGUAACGGCUCACCAUGGCAAUGAUACGUAGCCGACCUGAGAGGGUAAUCGGCCACAUUGGGACUGAGACACGGCCCAAACUCCUACGGGAGGCAGCAGUAGGGAAUCUUCCACAAUGGACGAAAGUCUGAUGGAGCAACGCCGCGUGAGUGAAGAAGGGUUUCGGCUCGUAAAACUCUGUUGUUAAAGAAGAACAUAUCUGAGAGUAACUGUUCAGGUAUUGACGGUAUUUAACCAGAAAGCCACGGCUAACUACGUGCCAGCAGCCGCGGUAAUACGUAGGUGGCAAGCGUUGUCCGGAUUUAUUGGGCGUAAAGCGAGCGCAGGCGGUUUUUUAAGUCUGAUGUGAAAGCCUUCGGCUCAACCGAAGAAGUGCAUCGGAAACUGGGAAACUUGAGUGCAGAAGAGGACAGUGGAACUCCAUGUGUAGCGGUGAAAUGCGUAGAUAUAUGGAAGAACACCAGUGGCGAAGGCGGCUGUCUGGUCUGUAACUGACGCUGAGGCUCGAAAGUAUGGGUAGCAAACAGGAUUAGAUACCCUGGUAGUCCAUACCGUAAACGAUGAAUGCUAAGUGUUGGAGGGUUUCCGCCCUUCAGUGCUGCAGCUAACGCAUUAAGCAUUCCGCCUGGGGAGUACGGCCGCAAGGCUGAAACUCAAAGGAAUUGACGGGGGCCCGCACAAGCGGUGGAGCAUGUGGUUUAAUUCGAAGCUACGCGAAGAACCUUACCAGGUCUUGACAUACUAUGCAAAUCUAAGAGAUUAGACGUUCCCUUCGGGGACAUGGAUACAGGUGGUGCAUGGUUGUCGUCAGCUCGUGUCGUGAGAUGUUGGGUUAAGUCCCGCAACGAGCGCAACCCUUAUUAUCAGUUGCCAGCAUUAAGUUGGGCACUCUGGUGAGACUGCCGGUGACAAACCGGAGGAAGGUGGGGAUGACGUCAAAUCAUCAUGCCCCUUAUGACCUGGGCUACACACGUGCUACAAUGGAUGGUACAACGAGUUGCGAACUCGCGAGAGUAAGCUAAUCUCUUAAAGCCAUUCUCAGUUCGGAUUGUAGGCUGCAACUCGCCUACAUGAAGUCGGAAUCGCUAGUAAUCGCGGAUCAGCAUGCCGCGGUGAAUACGUUCCCGGGCCUUGUACACACCGCCCGUCACACCAUGAGAGUUUGUAACA
Molecule: ribosomal RNA, 1382 nt
Filed under: Lactiplantibacillus plantarum
Lineage: Bacteria; Bacillati; Bacillota; Bacilli; Lactobacillales; Lactobacillaceae
Description: bacterial SSU rRNA
Rfam family: Bacterial small subunit ribosomal RNA
Source: RNAcentral